This 496-nucleotide ribosomal RNA is filed under the name uncultured bacterium. RNAcentral's name for it is "partial 16S ribosomal RNA". It matches the Rfam family "Bacterial small subunit ribosomal RNA", at positions 30 to 523 of the family's 1533-position model. The record is from RNAcentral.
AUUGAACGCUGGCGGAAUGCUUUACACAUGCAAGUCGAACGGUAGAGGGGGCAACCCCUCGAGAGUGGCGAACGGGUGAGUAAUAUAUCGGAACGUGCCCAGUCGUGGGGGAUAACGUAGCGAAAGUUACGCUCAUACCGCAUACGAUCUAAGGAUGAAAGCGGGGGAUCGCACGACCUCGCGCGAUUGGAUCGGCCGAUAUAAGAGUAGGUAGGUGGUGGGGUAAAGGCUCACCAAGCCAACGAUCUGUAGCUGGUCUGACAGGACGACCAGCCACACUGGAACUGAGACACGGUACAGACUCCUACGGGAGGCAGCAGUGGGGAAGUUUGGACAAUGGACGCAAGUCUGAUCCAGCCAUUCCGCGUGCAGGAUGAAGGCCCUCGGGUUGUAAACUGCUUUUGUACGGAACGAAAAGGUCUCUCUUAAUACGGGGGGCUCAUGACGGUACCGUAAGAAUAAGCACCGGCUAACUACGUGCCAGCAGCCGCAGUAA